UGACAAUGAGGGCAAUCAAAUGUUGAAAAGGGAAGAAAAUACAAAAAGUAAUGACCGAACAUAAUACAGCAUCUACAUAUGGAAUUAAUCAUUAAGAUAGACAAACACCUUGACAUCCUUGAUAAAAAGGCUGAACUAAGUUGAUUUUGAAGGGUAACCAGUUUCGUGAAUAAAAUGUGGUCUCGUAAUUAAUACAAAAACAGAG
This 205-nucleotide long non-coding RNA is filed under the name Mytilus galloprovincialis (Mediterranean mussel). The record is from RNAcentral. Lineage: Eukaryota; Metazoa; Mollusca; Bivalvia; Mytilida; Mytilidae.